This 232-nucleotide ribosomal RNA is filed under the name uncultured bacterium. RNAcentral's name for it is "partial 16S ribosomal RNA". It matches the Rfam family "Bacterial small subunit ribosomal RNA", at positions 99 to 334 of the family's 1533-position model. The record is from RNAcentral.
CGGACGGGUGAGUAAUGUCUGGGAAACUGCCUGAUGGAGGGGGAUAACUACUGGAAACGGUAGCUAACACCGCAUAACGUCGCAAGACCAAAGAGGGGGACCUUCGGGCCUCUUGCCAUCGGAUGUGCCCAGAUGGGAUUAGCUAGUAGGUGGGGUAAAGGCUCACCUAGGCGACGAUCCCUAGCUGGUCUGAGAGGAUGACCAGCCACACUGGAACUGAGACACGGCCCAG